This 210-nucleotide ribosomal RNA is filed under the name uncultured bacterium. RNAcentral describes it as "partial 16S ribosomal RNA". It matches the Rfam family "Bacterial small subunit ribosomal RNA", at positions 568 to 776 of the family's 1533-position model. The record is from RNAcentral.
CUUGUAGGCGGCCAACUAAGUCAAACGUGAAAUCCCUCGGCUUAACCGGGGAACUGCGCUUGAUACUGGAUGGCUUGAGAUUGGGAGAGGGAUGCGGAAUUCCAGGUGUAGCGGUGAAAUGCGUAGAUAUCUGGAGGAACACCGGUGGCGAAGGCGGCAUCCUGGACCAACACUGACGCUGAGGAGCGAAAGCCAGGGGGAGCAAAACGG